This 70-nucleotide non-coding RNA is filed under the name Oscillospiraceae bacterium. Lineage: Bacteria; Bacillati; Bacillota; Clostridia; Eubacteriales; Oscillospiraceae. The record is from RNAcentral.
AGCCGAAACAGCGGAAUGAAUCCGCUGUCCGUUGGAAUUGGUCACCCAACGCUGAUGAUGGCAGACCAGU